CAGGAAGUUACCCAAUCCAGUCUAAAAGGGGGAGACAUGAAGAAUUCAUCCCUUUUAGCAUCUAAUCAAGAAAUAACCAUAAAAAUAUGCAACCAGCAGCCCUCGGGGCUGCUCUGUCUAUGGAGUAGCCAUUCUUUUAUUCCUUUACUUUCUUAAUACACUUGCGUUCACUUUACUCUGUGGACUGACACUGAAUUCUUUUCUGUGUGAGAUCUAAGAACUCUCUCUUGGGGUCUGGAUUGGGAUCCCUUUUCCAGUAGCAGUAUGACCAUGGGAAAGAGAUGAAUCUCUUGGAGCCUCAGUAUGUCAGUCUGUAAAAUGAAAUCAUGAUACUGUUUUCACAGCACUGCAGUGAGGCAUUAAAUAACACGAUAUAGGAGCUCAAUGAGUGUUAGCUUCUUUCUUUUUUCUCCUGUUCCUUCCUUCCUUUCAUUUCCUCCUAGUUUUAGCUCUAUCCAGCAAAGAUAUUGAAAUCAGCCAUUAAAAAAGUACACAAUGACAGGGCCCAGUUCCUGGAUUCAGGGGUUGGGCACUUGGGGCAGGCAGUGAAGUCCCAGGCAGGAAACUGAGGGAGACUUUCAUCUGAGCUGCAGCAACUUGGAAUAUUGGGGCAGUCUGCACUAUUUUCACACACAACACUUCUUGCUCUAAAUGUGUGAGUGUUUUCCACACCAACAACUAGUCCUUCCACUCUCUGGAUACCACCUGGGUGUCCUACAAUUCAACUGAAUUCUGACACUACCCACCCAGGGUUAGUGCAGACCCUACAGGCUAAGGGCUCAGUCCCACAAGACUACCCCCACUUCAGAUGCCAGUCGCAAGUUCCCUUGCCACCUGUAUUUCUGACCCACCUGCUAUAAAUUGGGGGUUCCCAUGACCCCUUCCGAAUGUUUGAUAAUUUGCUAGAACCGUUCACAGAACUUAAGAAAAUGCUUUGCCUACGUUUACUGGUUUGUUAUACUGGGUGCAACUAGGAUGAGCCAGAUGGAAGAGAUGUACAGGGUGAGGUAUGGGAGAAACGGGUGUGUGAUGCUCCAUGCCUUCCCCACCACACAUCACCCUCCACCUACCCAGAACCUUGAUGUGUUCAGCCACUCGAAAGUUCUCCAAACCCUGUCAUUUAGGGGUUUUAAUGGAGGCUGUAGUAUGUAGGCGUGGUUGAUUAAAUCAUUGACCUUUGGUGAUUGGACUCAAUCUUCAGCCCCUCCCUGUACCCAGGAAACUGAGGGGUGGGGCUGAAAAUUCCAGCCCUUUUGAUCACAUUGAUGGUUCUUCUGGCAACCAGGUCCUGAAGUUAUCUUGGUACCCACCAAGUGGCUUCUUUAGCAUAAACUCAGCUAUUAUGGUUGAAAUGGUCCUAUAAGAAACAACAAAAGAUGCUCCUCUCACCCUAUCAUUUAGGAAGUUCCGAGGGUUUUAAGAGUUUUGUGCCAGGAACCACGAACAAAGAGUAUUACCACAGGCAUGCAGGCAUGGAAGCUAGUUGCAACAAGGAAAGGGAAAACUUGGCAAAAGCUUUGUCCCAUGGCCUAGACUAAUCCAGUAGGUACAAGGAUCAUGCCUAGGUGUUACAGGAAAGGGGUCCCAAUCCAGACCCCCAAGAGAGGGUUCUUGAAUCUCGCACAAGAAAGAAUUCGAGGUGAGUUCAUACAGUGAAAGCAAGUUUAUUAAGACAGUAAAGGAAUAAAAGAAUGGCUACUCCCUAGGCAGAGCAUUCUCAAGAGCUUCUGGUUGCCCAUUUUUAUGGUUAUUUCUUGAUUAUAUGCUAAACAAGAGGUUGAUUCUUCAUGAGUUUUCACAGUAAGGAGUGGACAACUCCCAGAACUGAGGGUUCUUAGCCUUUUUAGACCAUAUAGGGUAAUUUCCUGAUGUUGCCAUGGCAUCUGUAAACUGUCACAGCACUGGUGGGAGUGUCUUUUAGCAUGCUAAUAUAUUGUAACUAGCUUAUAAUGAGCUGUGAGGAUGACCAGAGGUCACUCUUGUCACCAUCUUGGUUUUGAUGGGUUUUGGCCGGCUUCUUAACUGCAACCUGUUUUAUCAGUAAGGUCUUUAUGAUCUGUAUCUUGUGCCAACCGUCUAUCUCAUUCUGUGACUAGGAAUGCCUUAACCUCUUGGGAAUGCAGCCCAGUAAGUCUAAGCCUCAUUCUACCCAGCCUGUUUUCAAGAUGGAGUCAUUCUUGUUCUAAUACCUCUGACACAGAGAUUGCAAAAGGUUGCAGGACUCCACCUGGUGUCCUGGCUCCUGGAUUUGACAGACAGCUGAGGAACCUGGACUAGGGUGUAGGGUGGGGUUGUUACUGGUGGGUUCUGCAGUACAGGUGGUUCAUCACUUUCUUUCUCUGAGAAUGUGACUUUCACACCCCCAUGGAUGCCAAUCUAAUCAGAAAUGUCUCAGGUGCUGGGAUAAUGCAGGGAGACUGUGAGUGGAGCAUCAGCAAGUAGCAGAUAAUCCAACUCAAGCUUAGUUGACACCAGGGGAGGGAUCAACUGGGCAUGAGACUAAGGCUCCCAGUGGGAAGAUAGGCACAGCAGGUGCUAGCCAAGCCACCACACAAGGACAUUAGGACUAGUCUCUCUCUCCAUCCUUCUUCUGCUCUCCUCUGUGCUGGCUUCAUUCUAAGGAUGACUCUCACUUCACGGUUGCCAAGCUUUUAUCCUGCUGGCCUUGGAGGUCUUGCAAACAGAGAGGGCUCAUUCCUUGCAGACUCACUAAAGUCUCAGGGAGGAUUGCAUGGGUUCAGCUGCUAUCCUGGCCCCUGAACCAAUCACCAGGCUGUCUUCUCCACUGUAUCUUCCCAAUUCCCCUUGGCACAUGCAAAUCAAUCUAUAUAAAUAGACCCUAGGCAGCUUCUGGCCCCGCCAACUCAUUAUUUAUGCAUAAGCAAGUCUGAAUCUUUGUUUAGGCUGAGCUACAGGACCAGGUAAGCACCCGUAGGCUUGCAUGCAGGCAUAUGCGUGCACACACACAGUUGCACACGUAUACAAGCACGCACAUAUCCAGAAGCAAGCAUAGCGCUCUCAGUCAAUCAUGUGUAAAAUGUCAGCCUGGCCUUCCUGUGAGUGUUUAGAAACAGUCUGAAGAGCCCUUGACGAGAGAAGUUGUCGUGGGUUUUGUUUCCUGUAAAAGCUUCUGUCAGUAAGCCUGGCAUGUUGUUUUUUUUUCCUUCAGACAAUGAGAGUCUUCUUUCUGUAGACAGAGGAAAACAAACACAUGUCCGUUUAUUAGGUAUGUAAAGUAACAUAACUGCAGGCAUAUUGUGUUUGGGGAAUCAGCCUGGCUUUGCCGCACGGCCAUAUGAAGCUGUUUGAAAACCCUGGUUUGUGCUAGACUCUUUGGCCCAAUCUCCCUUUUGUUUGGAGAAAGAAGGAUGUGCCUCUUUUCCUAUCCAGUACCGAGAUGCCAGCCCCCCUCCCCAACUGUAAACCACAAAACGCAGUAUUUAUCAUAUUCCCUAUUCUAAAUAUAUACUGGCAUUAGCCUUUGAUUCAAUAGUAACUACCAAUUACUAGCACCAAGUACCGGGCUUUAUUCGAAGCAUUGUACAUCAAAUUAACCAAUUGAACUCUUUACCAAUCCUAUAAGGUAGAUUUUAUUAUUACAAAUCCAUUUUGUAGCUGAAGAAACUGAGGCACAGGAGAUUAAGCUACUUUGCCAACAAAAGCAGCAAAGAUGGGACUUCAACCCAGGCCAUCUCGCUCUAGUGUUGGGGCUGUUAAAUGCCAUGCUGUAAUGCCCUGCAUAGUGGAGGGGGGGUGUCCUUCCAAUAUCCAGGGGUCUAGAGAUGGCUUUUCCCUAAAACGACAUCCUUCCCGGUAUUUCUAGGUAGACGCGAUGAGACAGAAAAUGUCAGCUGAACCUGGCAGCCUCAAGCAGUGAGUGAUUUUCUUCCUCGUGUGCCUCUUCCCAAUUUCAUCUUUAGUCAGAACAGCUCCGAAGAAAUCCUUGAGCUUAUGCAACCACUUCUUGGAAACUCCAGUGGUCCCAUUUUCCAGUUUUCUAAUACAGGCAUUUUCACAUCAUCACCAGAUGCUGGGCUGUUAGCGAGUAAUAUUGCCUUGGGAGGCUUUGCCUGUUAAGAAAUUGCUUGAAGUGUCCUUUCUCUUUCCUGUGAAAUUUUAAAUCAUCAUUUACAUGGAGCCCUGACAGCAUUUUUCAGGGCCUCUUUCAUUUACUUGGGCUUCUUGAUUGCUCUGAAGGUCCCAGCUGCCCCCUGCGCAGGUUCUGGGAGCCCAGGCCGACUCUGUCACAGAGAUUCCGAUUCACAGAAUCCAGGAGCAAGGUGGAAGGACCCUUAAGAGUCUCCCAAUGUAGCCUUUUAUUCAUUCUGUCCUACAGCAUUUUUAGUAGUUGAAUCUUUUAUUCCAACCAAAUUUUACGUAAGAUAGAUGAAAGUCAAGCCCUUCAGGUUACAGGCAUGCCAGGGAGCUAAUAGUGCUGUCCUGCUUAGCACCAAGUCCCAUCCUGUAUUAGUCUGUUCUCACACUGCUGAUAAAGACACAGGGGUAAUUUAUAAAGGAAAGAGGUUUAAUGAACUCACAGUUCCACAUGCCUGGGGAAGCCUCACAAUCAUGGUGGAAGGCGAAGGAGGAGCAAAGACAUGUCUUACAUGGCGACAGGCAAGAGAGUGUGCGCAGGGGAACUGCCCUUUAUAAAACCAUCAGAUUUCAUGAGACUUAUUCACUAUCAUGAGAAUAGCACAGGAAAGACCCACCCCCAUGACUCAGUUACCUCCCACUGGGUCCCUCCCAUGACACGUGGGAAUUGUGGGAGCUACAAUUCAAGUAACAAGCUACAGUUCAAAUAACAGAUAUUUGAGUGGGGACACAGGCAAACCAUAUCACACUCUCACCCUCCACCCUCCUAAUUCCUAACCUAUCUGUCCCUCCAGGGAGGCCUUUUGCAGCAUCUCUUGUGGAUCUCUGCAUUGCCCCAUUUAAAACAACGAUGCUGUAGGUUCUAGGCUUCCUGCUUCUCCAUGGCCCCAGCAUCAUGCAGCUUCCCAGGGCAGGGCCUCCUGCCUGGCUAAGUAGACUCUCCUCACCUGGCUCUCAAUCUCUAGUCUUGCCCAGCUCUCAUCUGCUUGUCACACCAAAGCCACGAGGAUCCUUCUAAACUACAAACUGGGCUGUGUCACAUGCCUAUUUAAAAUCCUCCUUCCUGGCUGGGCACAGUGACUCAUGCUUGUAAUCCCAGCACUUUGGGAGGCCCAGGCAGGAGGGUCACUUGAGGUCAGGAGUUCAAGACCAGCCUGGCCAAUAUGGUGAAACCCCAUCUCUACUAAAAAUAUAAAAAUUAGCCAGGCGUGGUGGUGGGCACCUCUAAUCCCAGCUACUUAGGAGGCUGAGACAGGAGAAUUGCUUGAACCCAGGAGGUGGAGUUUGCAGUGAGCUGAGAUCAUGCCACUGCACUCCAGCCUGGGUGACAGAGCAAGCCUCUGUCUCAAAAAUAAAUAAAUAAAUAACCCUCCUUCCCAUAGUGGGAGGGUGUGUGAGAGGUGGGGAUGGUUAAUAGAUACAAAAAACAUAGUUAGAAAGGAUGAAUAAGACCUAGUAUUUGAUAGCACAACAGGGUGACUAUAGUCAACAAUAAUAGAAUUAUACAUUUGAAAAUAAGUAAAAGAGAUUAAUUGGGUUGUUUGUAACACAAAGGAUAAACGUUCGAGGAGAUGAAUGCCCCAUUUUCCAUGAUGUGAUUUUUAUGCAUUGCAUACCUAUAUUCAAAUACCUCAUGUACCCAUAAACAUGUACACCUAUUAUGUACCUACACAAAUUAAAACAAAACAUUAAAAAAUAAAGUAAGUUAAAAAAAUAAAUAAAGUCUCCCUUCCCUGUUGUUUCUCAAUGACCUGAGGGUAAAGUUCGAGCCACUUGGUAAAGUGUAAAAGACCCGUCUUAUCUGACUGCUGUCUUAUCUGACUGCUGUCUUAUCUGGGCUGCUGCUUGACUGUCUAGUUUCAUCUGUUGACGAUAAGUUCUACGUCCAGCUGGAUGGAACUGGGAGCUGGACAUUUGAUGUGUUAUGCUUGUUCUGCUUAGGGUGAGCCUGAGCUGGGAAACCCUUCCCCCUCGCUCCCUGCACCUUACUCACCUCAGCUUGUCUUCACCCACUAACUUCUCCCACCUCUUCUUCCACAUCAGGAGCCUGUCCCUCCCCUUUUCCCAGAUCCUUAUGGCUUUCUCAGUCACUGCAUGGAUCCUGCCUAUGUUAGAAUUGCUUGUUUUCUUCUCUGUGGCCCUCACUUAACUAAUCUCUGUGAGGGCAGUGAGCAUGUCCAUCUUGGUCCCUGCUGUAUUCUCAACGCGCAGUAAUGCUUUGCAAAGAAAAGAUGCUCAGAAAGUAUUUGCUGAACAUAUAAAUGGGAGCUGGUUUCAGUGGCUCAUGCCUUUAAUCCCAACAGUUUGGGAAGCUGAGGCAGGAGGAUCAUUUGAGGUCAGGAGUUUGAGACUAGCCUGGGCAACAUAGUGAGACCCUGUCCGUACAAAAACCUUAAGAAGAAGAUUAGCUGGGCAUGAUGGUAUGCACUUGUAGUCCCAGUUACUCGAGAAGAUGAGGCAGGAGGAUCACUUGAGCCCAGGAGUUUGAGGCUGCAGUGCGCAAUGAUCCUACUGCACCACUACACCCUAGCCUGUGUGACAGAGCCAGACCCUGUCUCUAAAAGAGAAGCAGCAACAAUAAAAACAUAAAAAUAAAAAUUACUCUUGCUCUGGACCCCAUCCAGUGAUUUCCAGGCUCCUUCAACCUUUUUCAACAGUUCCUGACUUUUAUCAGCUUGACCAUUACUUGUGAUUCCUUUGUCUGUCUGCAGACCUUUCCAGUAACCUCCAGGUUCCCUGAAGGUCCCACAAUUUGCUUUUCCUUCCCUAGUCAGGACCGUCCAGACAUACUCCAUGCUUUCUUCCUUGUGGGGAUGACAUGAUCCCCAGCUCCAUGAGAGCAGAGAUCUUCUGCGUCUUGCCCAUUGUGGUGUUCUAGUGCUUGGCACUUAGUAGGUGCUCAGUAAACAUUUGUUGAAUGAAUUUUUAAAAAUCAGUCGUGCAAUCCAUGGACAACAGAAGCUUGAGCUCAUCUCUGCCAGUGGAUAUGAACAGAUGUGUCCUUACCCCCUUUGGGCUACUCAUGGAACUGCUUUUGGGUUAAAAUGUUGCCAGGGCAUAACUGCUUCUCUUGCAAUCUCUUCUGAUGGAUUUAGGUUCUAGCUCUGAUUCUCUGGACCUGGGAGAGGGGUCCUUAUGUCUCAUCCGCUAUGUCUUUCCUCAUUCUCCUUUCAGCAGCUACAAGAUAGGCCAUUCAAGAAGCCACCACUCCCUGCAAGAGGAGAGAUUUCAGCUCUUAGGAGAAUUUAUUGCAGAGAUUAGAUGCUGCCAAACCCUUCAAUAUCAGCUCCCAUCUAAACACAGGCUCAGAGAUAGGAAUGAAUUCAAGUUGUCUGUUUAGAAGACUUUUGCAGGCUUCAGGAAGCCACUGCCUGUCAUGGAAGAUUGAUUCACAGGAAUAUGGCAAGGAAGCCCGGGCAUUCAGUGACAAGGCACAUCUUUGCCAAGUGUCUUGGCACAUCUUUGCCAAGUGUCUCAAAUAGCCUGGGAACAAAAUUCACCAAGGGGAAGAUGGUGCUGUCCCCUUGGUUUACAUGUUGGAGGUGUGAGUCUUUGCAACUUCCUGACAACAAGGCUUCCUAGUUCCCAUUUAAAAUCAAGUCAGUUUUAUAAAGCAUUAACAUGAUGAGAUGCAUUAAGCUAAAGAGUGCCUUUUAAGAAUAAUAGCAAAUAAUUUAUAAUGGAUGCAUCAGCUUUAGUAAAAAGUUUUUUUUUGGUGACAAAAUAAAAUCAUACAUAAAAGGCAAGUAAGACAGUUUCACUUUAAUAGGGUGCCCAAGUGGAGUAAAAAAAAAUGUCAAAGCCAAAGUGUUUGUAGGAGUGAAAGAUUCUCAAGAGAAAGUAAGAUGAGACAUCAAACGAAUUGGCUUUGGUAGAAGACAGGUCUAGGCUGCAAAAACAACCUGGAUAGCUUGCUUGCUUGCUUUCUUGCUUUCUUGCUUGCUUGCUUUCUUGCUUGCUUUCUUUCUUGCUUUCUUUCUUGCUUGCUUGCUUGCUUGCUUGCUUUCCUUCUUUCUUUCUUUCUUUCUUUCUUUCUUUCUUUCUUUCUUUCUUUCUUUCUUUCUUUCUUUCUUUCUUUCUUUCUUUCUUUUUUUUCUUUGAGAUGGAGUUUGCUCUUGUUGCUCAGGCUGGAGAGUGCAAUUGUGCAGUCUCAGCUCACUGCAACCUCUCCGCUUCCCAGGUUCAAGCAAUUCUCCUGCCUCAGGCUCCCGAGUACCUGGGAUUACAGGGGUGUGCCACUGUACCCAGCUGAUUUUUGUGUUUUUAGUAGAGAUGAGGUUUCACCAUGUUGGCCAGGCUGGUCUUGAACUCCUGACCUCAGGGCAUCCACCCACCUGGGCCUCCCAAAGUGCCGGAUUAUAGGCGUGAGCCACUGCACCUGGCCCACAAUGUGGACAGCUUCUGAUUGUGACCCCCAAAAUCACGGGUCUUGGUUGAGUCUGUUUCCACAUCUGAACUUCAGUUUAGGGAUACUGCAGUGUACUUCUGCUGGAUUUGCCCCUACAGUAUUCCUCUGGGGAAACAACCCUACUCCACUCAUCCUCCCACAAGAAGUCACUUCUUGGCCAGGCACGGUGGCUCACGCCUGUAAUCUCAGCACUUUGAGAGGCUGAGGCGGGUGGAUCACAAGGUCAGGAGUUUGAGACCAGCCUGAUCAACAUGGUGAAACCCCACCUCUACUAAAAAUACAAAAAUUAGCCAGGUGUGGUGGCACGCACCUGUAAUCCAAGUUACUCAGGAGGCUGAGACAGAAGAAUGGCUUGAACCCAGGUGGCAGAGGUUGCAGUGAACCAAGAUUGUGCCACUGCACUCCAGCCUGGAUGAAAGAGCAAGAGUCCAUCUCAAAAAAAAAAAAAAAAAAAAUUACUUCUCAUAUCCCAACUCAGGAGGGCACACAGCUCAUGUCUGCCUCACUUUCAUUCUGUAAGGGCUAGUGGGUGAGAUGGAUUGCAUCUGUGACAUUAAUUCUUCACCCUGCUCCCCGCAUGCAUGCUGUUGCAUUCCUCUCACUAAAAAGGAGGAAGCCCGUUUCUCCAUCCUUGACACUGGAGUUGCCAAUCAGAUGCAGUGGAAGUGGGGGUGAGUCACUGUGGUGCUGAGACCUGCCUGGUGAGUUUCCACUGGCUACUGUUGUGCUUUGCUAUUGAUAUCAUCCCUACCAUCUCCAUAGGAGUGACAAAAAUUGCAUGCUGGGUUCUGGAGAGAAAUAUAAUUCAGCAUUCAUUAGGCUGCACUCUUACCCAUUUCCUUGUUAUUAAAGUCACAGCACUAGAUACUGACCAUUGCAUUCCUAUCAUUCCUAUAGACAGGAUCUCUGACAUGAGAGUCACAGGCUGUUUAAGAAUUGAUUUGCAUACCCAUUGUUCCUAUAGACAGGAUCUCUGGCAUUAGAAUCAUAAGGCUUUUGUUUAAAGAUCACUUUAGAUGUUUUUCAGGUCCUGAAUUCCAGUGGAAUAGCUGAAGCCCACCAGUUCGAAGAUUCCCAGGGAGGAACCAAAUCGACACAUGAAUACAGCUUCUUUCAUCCCCCUGUCCAAUGACUUCGCCCUGUACUCUUUGACCAAUCAAUGAGCUCCACAUUUUAGCCUACUCCAAAACCCUUAAAAACGCUUACCCCAAAUCCCUCAGAAAUGGACUUGAGGUUUCCUCCUAUCUUGUUGUUUGGUAGCCUACGAUUAAACCUCUUUCUCUGCUGCAACCUGGUGUCUUGGGGUGUUGACUUGCAGAACACAUCUGGCAAUGGAUCUGUUACAGUUAUGCAUUCACCAUGGGAACAUGCCUGCUGGAGAAGGAAAAACGUGUGGAGCAGAGCCAACUCACUCCAGUCUCCUCAACCGGUAGCCAACCAACUCCCAGACUCCUUCCAUGUAAACAUCCACAUACUCUGGGGAAACCUGCUGCCAAAGUAGGAGGAUUCCAAAGGACCUAGAGGAAGAAAAAGCUACAAUAUGGAAGACACCUGAGUUUCUGAAGGACUGUGUGGAGCACUUCCUUCUGCUGAUGAACAUGUGCUAUGAAAAAUAAACUUAUUUUGUUUAGCAACUAAGAUUUCUGAAUUACUUGUUACAGCAGUUAGUAUAUCCUGAUUAACAGACCUCAUCUUUUAUUCCUUUGGGCUUGAAUUUGAUGGCUUACCUGUGCUUUUCUUUGGCUUGACCAAGUAGUAUAGCAGCUGGCUUUCUGCUUGGUCAUUCUUUGCUCAG
RNAcentral lists this long non-coding RNA (10298 nucleotides) under Homo sapiens (human). RNAcentral's name for it is "HSALNT0385109". The stretch from base 5297 to 5444 matches the Rfam family "Metazoan signal recognition particle RNA". The record is from RNAcentral. Lineage: Eukaryota; Metazoa; Chordata; Mammalia; Primates; Hominidae.